GAUGAACGCUGGCGGCGUGCCUAAUACAUGCAAGUAGAGCGAACGGACGAGAAGCUUGCUUCUCUGAUGUUAGCGGCGGACGGGUGAGUAACACGUGGAUAACCUACCUAUAAGACUGGGAUAACUUCGGGAAACCGUAGCUAAUACCGGAUAAUAAUUUGAACCGCAUGGUUCAAAAGUGAAAGACGGUCUUGCUGUCACUUAUAGAUGGAUCCGCGCUGCAUUAGCUAGUUGGUAAGGUAACGGCUUACCAAGGCAACGAUGCAUAGCCGACCUGAGAGGGUGAUCGGCCACACUGGAACUGAGACACGGUCCAGACUCCUACGGGAGGCAGCAGUAGGGAAUCUUCCGCAAUGGGCGAAAGCCUGACGGAGCAACGCCGCGUGAGUGAUGAAGGUCUUCGGAUCGUAAAACUCUGUUAUUAGGGAAGAACAUAUGUGUAAGUAACUGUGCACAUCUUGACGGUACCUAAUCAGAAAGCCACGGCUAACUACGUG
RNAcentral lists this ribosomal RNA (497 nucleotides) under uncultured bacterium. Its description in RNAcentral is "partial 16S ribosomal RNA". It matches the Rfam family "Bacterial small subunit ribosomal RNA", at positions 28 to 507 of the family's 1533-position model. The record is from RNAcentral.